UUCACAUUACGGUAUUUCAGACAAAUACAGACUCAUUCUCUCUGCUGAAUUACAAUCAGAUUUCAGCAUUCAAUCUUUCUUCUUCUCAAAUAAUACCAAUCACAUUUCCAUUCUAUAAUUUACUUCACAAUAUUCAGAAACUCUCAAUCUUCUUAUUCAAAGAAAUUAACAAACAAAAGAAAAGAGGUAGCACCAAGCUUACCUCGGCUCACAACUAUCAUAGCGAUGGCACCUUAAUUAACUUCUACAAC
This 251-nucleotide long non-coding RNA is filed under the name Physcomitrium patens. RNAcentral's name for it is "long non-coding RNA (PPAT_LNC002953)". The record is from RNAcentral. Lineage: Eukaryota; Viridiplantae; Streptophyta; Bryopsida; Funariales; Funariaceae.